Molecule: long non-coding RNA, 1003 nt
Organism: Harpia harpyja (harpy eagle)
Lineage: Eukaryota; Metazoa; Chordata; Aves; Accipitriformes; Accipitridae
Exons: 4
Source: RefSeq, a predicted model, not a curated record
UCCGUCAGGCUUCAGACCCCUGGCAUGCUGCCUGCACCCCAUUCUCUGUCAUUUUUUUUCUUCUUUUCCUUACAAGUUGUUGUUGUUGUUGUUUCUUUUUAAUGAUUCAACUGUUUUUGUUUCAAGCCACGAGUUUUCCCACUUCCGCCCUUCCGAUUGUCUCCCCGUCCCACUGGGGGCGGGGGAGCGAGUGAGCGGUCGCGUGGGGCUUCGUUGCCGGCUGGCGUUAAACCACGACACGAGAGGCCACGCUGUGGGUGCGGUUGUCUGUUCGUCCCCUGGGGAUGCCGUUGACUGCAGCAGCCUCAGGCUUGCGUGGGCUGUCUCUGCCUGGCCUCCCUCUCCUCGCGGCGCGGGAGCGCAGAGGGACAGGUGGAGCGCUUACUGGCUGUGGACAGGAGCUGCUGAAGCUGACGCUGAAGCUGGAGAGGCCACAGAAUGGUAAAGCUGCUGAAGAAUAAAAUAAAGAGGAUCCAGCCACCAGCUGCAGACAGGAGAUAGCCUGCCUCUCCAGGUGGAUGACAGUCAAGUGAGUGCAGCUACAGAGGAGGAAGGGAGAGGGAGAGAGAGACAGACAUGUCUGAACUGUCAAAUUCUCCCAGCAGCUCCAACAGCAGGAGCCUGCAGUGAAGACCAUGGUGACACAGGCUGUCCCCCUGCAGCCCACGGAGGUCCAUGGCGGAGCAGAUAUGCACCCUGCAGCCGACGGAGGACCCCUCGCCAGAGCAGGCGGAUUCACCCGAAGGAGGCUGUGACGCUGUGGAGAGGAGCCCACACUGGAGCAGGUUUUCUGGCAGGACCUGCGGCCCCAUGGGAGUGACACCACACUGGAACAGAAGAAGAGCACAAAGAAGGAAGGAGCAGCAGAGACAACUUGUGAUGAACUGACUGCAACCCCCCGCUCCUUCUCCCCCUGUGCUGCUCGGUAGGAGGAGGUAGAGAAGUCAGGAGUGAAGAUGAGCCCAGGAAAAAAAGAGAGGGGUGGGGGGAAGGUGUUUUUCAG